CAACCCUGACCACAGCUGAGCCGUGUGAAGAGGCUGACAGCGGCGUGGCCACCACCCAGGAUGGAGAGAAAGGCACUGUGAGGUGUUAAUGGAAAAAUCCAACUUCCUUUUCUUCCAAAGAUGAUGACUGAAACCAAAGUGGAGCUUUCCCUGAAACUUUCUGAGAUGCAAGUGGGUGUUAAAUGGUUCAGCAAAGCCAAGCCAGAGCAGUUGGUGUGCUUUGAAAUGAAGCAACAUUGGAAAAAUGAAAUCUACUGAAAGAUCACUACGUGUUUCAAAGCAUUUCUUACAAUUGCCAAAAUAUGGAAGCAACCUAAGUGUCCCUCAGGAGACGAAUGGAUCAAGGCAAUGUGGCCUUCAGACUCAGACUGGAACUGCACCGUUGGCUCUCCUGGGUGGGUCUCCAGCUUGCUGACCACAGACCUUGAGACUUCUCAGCCUUUAGAAUCAUGGAAGCCAAUUCCUUAUAAUAAUAUAUAUCCUUUUCCUAGUCUGUGGACUUUUCCCAGCUCCAGACAGACAACCUUCUAUAAACUCCAGGAUGCUCCAUCAAUGCCGUCUGGACUCUACAGAUUUUGACCCUGAAGUAAAGUAGGAAAGGCUAUGAGGACAUGUUAAAUGUUGUACUACCGCCUGAAGCCUUUUCUUCUUUAAAUUUUUCAACAAGAGUUGAAUGCACACGUGGAGCUUAAUUGGACAACAACUUUUCUCCUCUUCUGUGGGAUCCCGUCAGUGCUUUAAGCAAUGAGAAGGCAGCUCAUUUCCAAGUUUGUGUGGUAAAUUUGGGGCAAGUGGGAGAAAAGAAAGAAAGGCUGAGUCUUAUAGGGUGUGAUUUGGUUCUAGACAUGCUUAUGUUACUUUUUAUAAGAUUAUCCAUUUGACUAGAUUUCUUUCCUGCUGACAAAAGAGGCAAUUUCUACAUAUAAAAUAAAUCUGAUUAAAACUC
Molecule: long non-coding RNA, 946 nt
Filed under: Homo sapiens (human)
Lineage: Eukaryota; Metazoa; Chordata; Mammalia; Primates; Hominidae
Description: long intergenic non-protein coding RNA 2997
Source: RNAcentral